This 492-nucleotide ribosomal RNA is filed under the name uncultured bacterium. RNAcentral describes it as "partial 16S ribosomal RNA". It matches the Rfam family "Bacterial small subunit ribosomal RNA", at positions 29 to 507 of the family's 1533-position model. The record is from RNAcentral.
AGUGAACGCUGGCAGUAGGCCUAACACAUGCAAGUCGAACGGCAGCACAGUAAGAGCUUGCUCUUACGGGUGGCGAGUGGCGGGCGGGUGAGGAAUACAUCGGAAUCUACUUUUUCGUGGGGGAUAACGUAGGGAAACUUACGCUAAUACCGCAUACGACCUACGGGUGAAAGCAGGGGAUCUUCGGACCUUGCGCGAUUGAAUGAGCCGAUGUCGGAUUAGCUAGUUGGCGGGGUAAAGGCCCACCAAGGCGACGAUCCGUAGCUGGUCUGAGAGGAUGAUCAGCCACACUGGAACUGAGACACGGUCCAGACUCCUACGGGAGGCAGCAGUGGGGAAUAUUGGACAAUGGGCGCAAGCCUGAUCCAGCCAUACCGCGUGGGUGAAGAAGGCCUUCGGGUUGUAAAGCCCUUUUGUUGGGAAAGAAAAGCAGCAGGUUAAUACCCCGCUGUCCUGACGGUACCCAAAGAAUAAGCACCGGCUAACUUCGUG